This 440-nucleotide ribosomal RNA is filed under the name uncultured bacterium. Its description in RNAcentral is "partial 16S ribosomal RNA". It matches the Rfam family "Bacterial small subunit ribosomal RNA", at positions 338 to 795 of the family's 1533-position model. The record is from RNAcentral.
CCUACGGGAGGCAGCAGUGGGGGAUAUUGCACAAUGGGGGAAACCCUGAUGCAGCGACGCCGCGUGUGGGAAGACGGUCCUCUGGAUUGUAAACCACUGUCCCCAGGGACGAAGAUGACGGUACCUGGUGAGGAAGCUCCGGCAAACUACGUGCCAGCAGCCGCGGUAAUACGUAGGGAGCGAGCGUUGUCCGGAAUUACUGGGUGAAAAGGGAGCGUAGGCGGGACUGCAAGUUGGGUGUCAAAUCUACCGGCUCAACCGGUAGCCGCACUCAAAACUGCAGUUCUUGAGUGAAGUAGAGGCAGGCGGAAUGCCUAGUGUAGCGGUGAAAUGCGUAGAUAUUAGGAGGAACACCAGUGGCGAAGGCGGCCUGCUGGGCUUUUACUGACGCUGAGGCUCGAAAGUGUGGGGAGCAAACAGGAUUAGAUACCCGAGUAGUC